Molecule: ribosomal RNA, 492 nt
Filed under: uncultured bacterium
Lineage: Bacteria
Description: partial 16S ribosomal RNA
Rfam family: Bacterial small subunit ribosomal RNA
Source: RNAcentral
AGUGAACGCUGGCGGUAGGCCUAACACAUGCAAGUCGAACGGCAGCACAGUAAGAGCUUGCUCUUACGGGUGGCGAGUGGCGGACGGGUGAGGAAUACAUCGGAAUCUACUUUUUCGUGGGGGAUAACGAAGGGAAACUUACGCUAAUACCGCAUACGACCUACGGGUGAAAGCAGGGGAUCUUCGGACCUUGCGCGAUUGAAUGAGCCGAUGUCGGAUUAGCUAGUUGGCGGGGUAAAGGCCCACCAAGGCGACGAUCCGUAGCUGGUCUGGGAGGCUGGUCAGCCACACUGGAACUGAGCCACGGUCCAGACUCCUACGGGAGGCAGCAGUGGGGAAUAUUGGACAAUGGGCGCAAGCCUGAUCCAGCCAUACCGCGUGGGUGAAGAAGGCCUUCGGGUUGUAAAGCCCUUUUGUUGGUAAAGAAAAGCAGCAGGUUAAUACCCCGCUGUUCUGACGGUACCCAAAGAAUAAGCACCGGCUAACUUCGUG